Molecule: RNA transcript, 2805 nt
Organism: Carassius gibelio (silver crucian carp)
Lineage: Eukaryota; Metazoa; Chordata; Actinopteri; Cypriniformes; Cyprinidae
Gene name: zinc finger protein 501-like
Exons: 3
Source: RefSeq, a predicted model, not a curated record
UUCAGUUUCGCCGCGCUCUCUGUUGUUGUUAUGUCGGUGUGCUGCCUUAAUACAAACGGUUAGACACGUUUCUAAGAGAAAAAUUUAGUUUUUGAAUCAGUUCAGUAAAAUACCUGUAAUAUUCUCAUCCUAACAAUCGUGACUGAGUUUUGAAGCGAGCAAGAAUAUCUGGAGGAGUUUAUCAUCUGAACUGAGAUCUGCUGCCAUGAAGAUGCAGUUUGUGAAAGAAGAGAGAGAAGAGAACACGAGUGAACCAGACACCAGCACAAUAAAACACGAGGAACCAGAAAUGCUGAGAAUAAAACACGAAGAUCCAGGAACCUGGAGAAUAAAACACGAGGAACCAGAAACCUGCAAAAUAAAACACGAGGAAAAAGAAUCCUUGAGAAUAAAACACGAGGAACCAGAAAUGCUGAGAAUAAAACACGAAGAUCCAGGAACCUGGAGAAUAAAACACGAGGAACCAGAAACCUGCAAAAUAAAACACGAGGAAAAAGAAUCCUUGAGAAUAAAACACGAGGAACAAGGAGAGUUCAUUGAAGAAAAAGAGGAAAAUGAAGAAUCAAGUCCUCAAGAGAAGCAGAACGCAUGUGAUCAGUGCGAUAAAAUGUUUUUAUGGGCUUCACUUCUGAAGAAACACUUGAAAGUUCAUGCAAAGAAGAAACCACAUUCAUGUCAUUUGUGUGGUAACAGUUUUUUGCAUGUACAAAGUUUGAAAGAACAUCUUCAGAUAAUACAUACUGGUGUAAGAGAGUACGUGUGCUCUGAGUGUGAGAAGACUUUUAGUUCAGCAAGCAGUUUAAAACAGCACGAGAGGAUUCACACUGGAGAGAAACCUUACAAGUGUUCACACUGUGACAAGAGAUUCAGUAAAUUAUCAACUCAGAAAAUACAUGAGAGGAUUCACACUGGAGAGAAACCUUAUAAGUGUUUACACUGUGACAAGAGAUUCAGUAAAUUAUCAACUCAGAAAAGACAUGAGAGGAUUCACACUGGAGAGAAACCUUACAAGUGUUCACACUGUGACAAGAGAUUCAGUCAAUCAUCAACUCUGAAAACACAUGAGAGGAUCCACACUGGAGAGAAACCUUAUAAGUGUUCACACUGUGACAAGAGAUUCAGUCGGUUACCACAUCUGAAAACACAUGAGAGGAUCCACACUGGAGAGAAACCUUACAAGUGUUCACACUGUGACAAGAGAUUCAGUGUGUUAUCAAGUCUGGAAACACAUGAGAGGAUCCACACUGGAGAGAAACCUUAUAAGUGUUCACACUGUGACAAGAGAUUCGGUGAUUCAUCAAGUCUAAAAAAACAUGAGAGGAUCCACACUGGAGAGAAACCUUAUAAGUGUUUAAUCUGUGACAGGAAAUUCAGUGUGUUAUCAAGUCUGAAAACACAUGAGAGGAUUCACACUGGAGAGAAACCUUACAAGUGUUCACACUGUGACAAGAGAUUCAGUCAGUUAUCAAGUCUCAAUACACAUGAGAGGAUCCACACUAGAGAGAAACCUUACAAGUGUUCACACUGUGACAGGAGAUUCAGUAAAUCAUCAAGUCUCGAAACACAUGAGAGGAUCCACACUGGAGAGAAACCUUACAAGUGUUCACACUGUGACAAGAGAUUCCGUCGUUUAGCAAAUUUCAAAACACAUGAGAGAUUUCACACUGGAUAGAAAGCACAUCACCGCAAUGUACGUGGGAAGCGUACAUUGGCCCGUACAUGCGGAGAUGCAUUUAGAUGUUUAUGUAAAUAUUUUGUUAGGUAUAUGUGUUUCGUCCAGACGGAUCCAGCAUUUUGGGAGAAUGAAUUCACUAUUUCUUUGGGUCCCAGAGUGGAUAAAUCUGAAAAUGACACCUUUGGGUCUUUGUGUUCUGCCAAUCCAUAUAUUUUGUGAAACGAUGUCAUCACCCCACUUCUCUACUAUUGUCAGACACCGCUACGUCAUGUAACACCAACAACAAUGGAGAACUACAUCUUUGUGUUCAUGCUGCAGAAGCUACUGAGCCUAUUAGCUUGAUUAAACUUACUAGUAGAGCUGCACGAUAUUGGAAGACAACUCGCAUCGUGAUAAUUUGUCUUUGCGAUGUAUAUUGCGUUAUGGAAAAAAAAUCACCAGAUGACUUGAACUGCUCUAUUUGGGGGAAAAAAAUAAUGAUUGGGGUGAUUUUGUAGGUGAAUAAAUCAGCUAAGAAAAUAGGCAAAUUACAAACAUAGAUAAAUAUAACAGAUAAAUGAUACAAAUUAAAUCAAAAAAUGCUUUGUAUUCUUCAGGUAAGACCAACUGUUACUGUCUGUUACAGUUAAGUCUAAUACAUUACUGCUGCGUAACAUUGCUGACAGAAUGCAGUGUUUAUAAUCUAGAGAUCGUAAAGAGGAUGUAGCACACACACUGCCAAGUCAAGUGCCAGUGGAUUACAGACUUGCACCCGCGAGACCUGAUGCAACAGAGAGCGGCGUGGGACAAGACUCGUGUGUGUGUGUGUGUGUGUGUGUGUGUGCAGGAUGCAGGAAAAUAAAAAAAAGAAUAAUCUAAACAUAAAAAAUCUAAAACAAAUUAUUUAUCUAUUGCACAAAAGCAAAAUAAACUAUUAAACAUAAACAAUUAACAGGUGCAAGCGUAUGCAGAGCUUCUAUUUAGGCUUUAACAAGGAUUAGUUUGUUGCAUGAUGAGACUGAUGCGAGAUACUGAUCCAAAAGCACAAGUUUUGUUAAAAAGUUUAAUUUCUUUCUUUAAUAUAGGCUAAGUGAGUUUUUCAUUAUUGUUGCUGUUUCCAUUUAAAAUAAAUAAAAACAUUGAACCACAAA